RNAcentral lists this ribosomal RNA (442 nucleotides) under uncultured bacterium. RNAcentral's name for it is "partial 16S ribosomal RNA". It matches the Rfam family "Bacterial small subunit ribosomal RNA", at positions 338 to 795 of the family's 1533-position model. The record is from RNAcentral.
CCUACGGGUGGCAGCAGUAGGGAAUCUUUCACAAUGGGCGAAAGCCUGAUGGAGCAACGCCGCGUGCAGGAUGAAGGCCUUCGGGUUGUAAACUGCUUUUAUAAGCGAGAAAUAUGAUGGUAACUUAUGAAUAAGGAUCGGCUAACUACGUGCCAGCAGCCGCGGUCAUACGUAGGAUCCGAGCAUUAUCCGGAGUGACUGGGUGUAAAGAGUUGCGUAGGUGGCAUAGUAAGUAGCUAGUGAAAUCUGGUGGCUCAACCAUUCAGACUAUUAGCUAAACUGCUAAGCUCGAGACCGGUAGGGGUAACUGGAAUUUCUAGUGUAGGAGUGAAAUGCGUAGAUAUUAGAAGGAACACCGAUAGCGUAGGCAGGUUACUGGGACGGUUCUGACACUAAGGCACGAAAGCGUAGGGAGCAAACGGGAUUAGAUACCCCUGUAGUC